CAGCAGCCGCGGGAAUACAGAGGGUGCGAGCGUUAAUCGGAUUUACUGGGCGUAAAGCGUGCGUAGGCGGCUUUUUAAGUCGGAUGUGAAAUCCCUGAGCUUAACUUAGGAAUUGCAUUCGAUACUGGGAAGCUAGAGUAUGGGAGAGGAUGGUAGAAUUCCAGGUGUAGCGGUGAAAUGCGUAGAGAUCUGGAGGAAUACCGAUGGCGAAGGCAGCCAUCUGGCCUAAUACUGACGCUGAGGUACGAAAGCAUGGGGAGCAAACAGGAUUAGAUACCCCGGUAGUCCCUGUCUUUUAUAC
This 301-nucleotide ribosomal RNA is filed under the name uncultured bacterium. Its description in RNAcentral is "partial 16S ribosomal RNA". It matches the Rfam family "Bacterial small subunit ribosomal RNA", at positions 509 to 809 of the family's 1533-position model. The record is from RNAcentral.